ACCGAGCAUGAGAACACGCAAGUAAGCAGUGAGAGGUAGAUUCAUCCCUAUUAUCACAAACCGGACAAGAGAUACACGGGGAGCAGCACCGGCUGUACUGGUUCAACUUAGUAGCAAUGGCAUAUGAGGCACAUCUCCAUAAGAAGACCAGAACCUUGGGUGAAGCAUCAAUCUUCCAGAACCAUUUCGAACACCCAAUUUGAUCCAGCGUCAUCCCCUGGUUAAAGCAGACAAGACUUUGACCUGAGACAUGAUACACUGACUUAACCGAG
Molecule: long non-coding RNA, 272 nt
Filed under: Linum usitatissimum (flax)
Lineage: Eukaryota; Viridiplantae; Streptophyta; Magnoliopsida; Malpighiales; Linaceae
Description: long non-coding RNA (LUSI_LNC007934)
Source: RNAcentral